CGGGGAGGCAGUGACAAGAAAUAACAACCCAGAACAUUGUUUCCGGGAUUGCAAUGAGAACAAUUUAAAAACCUUAUCGAGUACCAACUGGAGGGCAAGUUCUGGUGCCAGCAGCCGCGGUAAUUCCAGCUCCAGUAGCGUAUAUUAAAGUUGCUGCAGUUAAAAAGCUCGUAGUUGAAUUUCUGUUUGUAAGAGUCGAAGCUUUACAGCUAAGAUUUCUUCGAACAUCUGUUUGCAAGCAUACGUUCGGCCUUCACUGGUUGGCUAUGUAAGCAAGCGCUUUACCUUGAGAAAAUUAGAGUGUUCCAGGCAGGCUUCAGCCGGAAUACAUUAGCAUGGAAUAAUGGAAUAGGACUGGGGACUAUUUAUUGGUUUUGAGGGCUCCAGUAAUGAUAAUAGGAACAGUCGGGGGCGAUUGGUACUUAACAGUCAGAGGUGAAAUUCUUGGAUUUGUUAAAGACUAACUAAUGCGAAAGCAAUUUGCCUAAGCAUGUUUCUAUUAAUUCAAGAACGAAAGUUAGGGG
RNAcentral lists this ribosomal RNA (524 nucleotides) under uncultured eukaryote. RNAcentral describes it as "SSU rRNA". It matches the Rfam family "Eukaryotic small subunit ribosomal RNA", at positions 457 to 996 of the family's 1831-position model. The record is from RNAcentral.